GCGUAAAGGGCGCGUAGGCGGUCUAGUGAGUGUGAUGUGAAAGCCCCGGGCUCAACCUGGGAAGUGCAUCGCAAACGACUAAACUGGAGUAGGUGAGAGGGUGGCGGAAUUUCCGGUGUAGCGGUGAAAUGCGUAGAGAUCGGAAGGAACGUCAAUGGCGAAGGCAGCCACCUGGCACCAUACUGACGCUGAGGCGCGAAAGCGUGGGGAGCGAACAGGAUUAGAUACCCUGGUAGUCCACGCUGUAAACGAUGAGAACUAAAUGUUGGAGGGGGAACCCUUCAGUAUUGAAGCUAACGCGAUAAGUUCUCCGCCUGGGAAGUACAGUCGCAAGACUGAAACUCAAAAGAAUUGACGGGGGCCCGCACAAGCGGUGGAGCAUGUGGUUUAAUUCGAUGCAACGCGAAGAACCUUACCUACCCUUGACAUCCUGCGAAUCCCGAUGAGAGUUGGGAGUGCCGCAAGGAGCGCAGAGACAGGUGCUGCAUGGCUGUCGUCAGCUCGUGUUGUGAGAUGUUGGGUUAAGUCCCGUAACGAGCGCAACCCUUGUCCUUAGUUGCCAUCAUUUAGUUGGGGACUCUAAGGAGACUGCCGGUGAUGAACCGGAGGAAGGCGGGGACGACGUCAAGUCAUCAUGGCCUUUAUGGGUAGGGCUACACACGUGCUACAAUGGGGCGUACAGAGGGUCGCCAACCCGCGAGGGGGAGCCAAUCUCUUAAAGCGUCUCGUAGUCCGGAUCGGAGUCUGCAACUCGACUCCGUGAAGUCGGAAUCGCUAGUAAUCGCGAA
RNAcentral lists this ribosomal RNA (788 nucleotides) under uncultured Aquicella sp. Its description in RNAcentral is "bacterial SSU rRNA". It matches the Rfam family "Bacterial small subunit ribosomal RNA", at positions 558 to 1348 of the family's 1533-position model. The record is from RNAcentral. Lineage: Bacteria; Pseudomonadati; Pseudomonadota; Gammaproteobacteria; Legionellales; Coxiellaceae.